GUGGGGAAUAUUACACAAUGGAGGAAACUCUGAUGUAGCAACGCCGCGUGGAGGAUGACACAUUUCGGUGCGUAAACUCCUUUUAUAUGGGAAGAUAAUGACGGUACCAUAUGAAUAAGCACCGGCUAACUCCGUGCCAGCAGCCGCGGUAAUACGGAGGGUGCAAGCGUUACUCGGAAUCACUGGGCGUAAAGCGCGCGCAGGCGGCCCAUUAAGUUGGAUGUGAAAUCCUAUGGCUCAACCAUAGAACUGCAUCCAAAACUGAUGGGCUAGAGUCUGGGAGGGGAAGAUGGAAUUAGUGGUGUAGGUGUAAAAUCCGUAGAGAUCACUACGAAUACCAAAAGCGAAGGCGAUCUUCUGGAACAGUACUGACGCUGAGGCGCGAAAGCGUGGGAAGCAAACAGGAUUAGAAACCCCUGUAGUCC
This 425-nucleotide ribosomal RNA is filed under the name uncultured bacterium. RNAcentral describes it as "partial 16S ribosomal RNA". It matches the Rfam family "Bacterial small subunit ribosomal RNA", at positions 354 to 796 of the family's 1533-position model. The record is from RNAcentral.